CACCAUUUGACUUUCAAGUUAUGAACAUCUGCUACUUGGACUAAAAAUUAAUUAUUGACAAAAGGUACAUUGCUAAGGAUUGAGACAGGUUGCUUGAAAUCAAUGAGUAACAAUGAAAGAUUCCAUAGGCUUCCUAUGGCACACAGUAAGAACUCAAAAAGUGUCAACAACUAUUAUUGUCAUAUAACAAUCAGUGGAGAAGCCAGCAGACUUUGCAAGAUCAUUGCCCGUCCAUGACUGGCCUUUGUCUAUAACUGGCAGGGAUUUCUGGUGUGUCAGCUGCAAUAUUUAGAUCUGGUUGGAGAGCUGGGCACUGAGGCUCAAAGUCAAGAGAAACCCCAAACUUGGGGAAAAUAACUUUGUGGCGAAGAACCUUAGCCAAGUGAUCUAAGGUCCCAGUCAUCCCUGCAGCCUGGCCAUGCCUUCUGUAAGCCUGUUUCAUCCUAAGCUCUCUGCCAGCAAAACUCUUGCAAUAGAAAACCAUCUGAAGAAGAGCCAGGCAAGGCCUUGACAUCGGUGUUCUGGGCGCUGGGAGUGAUCAUGAAGAGACUACGGCAGCGGCAAAACAGGAAACAUUUUCUCCAGCCUGCCUAUAGCUGCUGCCCUCGGGGCUUGCUCUCAUACCCAAUUUUUAAAAGCAGGCUCUUAGAAUAAUAAAACCAGAGAAUCCUUGAAUACAGAACCAUUGACUCUUAGAAUCAUAAGUUAUUGAGAGAAGAACUAUGAAAUUCUAGAAUCUUGGCAUUGGAAGUUCCCUCCCAGGUCAAUGGGUCCUGUCUCCCCACCUAAGCAACAGGUAUUUCUUCUGAGGAAACUGGGUGCAGUGACGAUGUGGCCACAACACCUUGUAGAUAUGGGAAGAUGUCCAAGGUGGCCACAAAGGUUUCAGGAGAAGGAGGAGGCCCUGGAAACUCUUGACAAUGCCCUCGGCACUGCUUCCAAGGAGCUCCAGUCUUACAGACAGACCAUCCCUGAGAGAAACAAGAGAAAACGGGAAAUUCUGACUUCUCUCUACUUCAGAACUAUGGACUAUUUUGGUUGGCAUUUUUGCCCCCCUCCAACUUUUUUUUGGCUUUGCUAUCUAAAACAAAUAAAUAAAAACAGCUGAUGCUGUGAACUGUAAAGAAUCUGAGCUAAUUUGGUCCUCCCCUUUCUCCCAUCCAUUGCAGACUUCGGCCAUGGCGCGUGAGCAUUAGAAAACAACUUGUCGCCCAC
Molecule: long non-coding RNA, 1215 nt
Filed under: Rhinopithecus bieti (black snub-nosed monkey)
Lineage: Eukaryota; Metazoa; Chordata; Mammalia; Primates; Cercopithecidae
Description: lncRNA (ENSRBIG00000046541.1)
Source: RNAcentral